GACGAACGCUGGCGGCGUGCUUAACACAUGCAAGUCGAACGGUAAGGCUCCAGCUUGCUGGGGUACACGAGUGGCGAACGGGUGAGUAACACGUGGGUGACCUGCCCUGCACUUCGGGAUAAGCCUGGGAAACUGGGUCUAAUACCGGAUAGGACCGCACCGUGAGGGUGUGGUGGAAAGUUUUUUCGGUGUGGGAUGGGCCCGCGGCCUAUCAGCUUGUUGGUGGGGUAACGGCCUACCAAGGCGGCGACGGGUAGCCGGCCUGAGAGGGUGGACGGCCACAUUGGGACUGAGACACGGCCCAGACUCCUACGGGAGGCAGCAGUGGAGAAUAUUGCACAAUGGGCGGAAGCCUGAUGCAGCGACGCCGCGUGGGGGAUGACGGCCUUCGGGUUGUAAACUCCUUUCACCAUCGACGAAGGGUUUCUGACGGUAGAUGGAGAAGAAGCACCGGCUAACUACGUGCCAGCAGCCGCGGUAAUACGUAGGGUGCGAGCGUUGUCCGGAAUUACUGGGCGUAAAGAGCUCGUAGGUGGUUUGUCGCGUCGUCUGUGAAAUUCCGGGGCUUAACUCCGGGCGUGCAGGCGAUACGGGCAUAACUUGAGUACUGUAGGGGAGACUGGAAUUCCUGGUGUAGCGGUGAAAUGCGCAGAUAUCAGGAGGAACACCGGUGGCGAAGGCGGGUCUCUGGGCAGUAACUGACGCUGAGGAGCGAAAGCAUGGGGAGCGAACAGGAUUAGAUACCCUGGUAGUCCAUGCCGUAAACGGUGGGCGCUAGGUGUGGGUUUCCUUCCACGGGAUCCGUGCCGUAGCUAACGCAUUAAGCGCCCCGCCUGGGGAGUACGGCCGCAAGGCUAAAACUCAAAGGAAUUGACGGGGGCCCGCACAAGCGGCGGAGCAUGUGGAUUAAUUCGAUGCAACGCGAAGAACCUUACCUGGGCUUGACAUAUACAGGAUCGCGCCAGAGAUGGUGUUUCCCUUGUGGCUUGUAUACAGGUGGUGCAUGGUUGUCGUCAGCUCGUGUCGUGAGAUGUUGGGUUAAGUCCCGCAACGAGCGCAACCCUCGUCUUAUGUUGCCAGCACGUUGUGGUGGGGACUCGUAAGAAACUGCCGGGGUUAACUCGGAGGAAGGUGGGGAUGACGUCAAAUCAUCAUGCCCCUUAUGUCCAGGGCUUCACACAUGCUACAAUGGUCGGUACAGUGGGUUGCCAGUCCGUGAGGGCGAGCUAAUCCCGCAAAGCCGGUCUCAGUUCGGAUCGGGGUCUGCAACUCGACCCCGUGAAGUCGGAGUCGCUAGUAAUCGCAGAUCAGCAACGCUGCGGUGAAUACGUUCCCGGGCCU
This 1341-nucleotide ribosomal RNA is filed under the name uncultured bacterium. RNAcentral describes it as "partial 16S ribosomal RNA". It matches the Rfam family "Bacterial small subunit ribosomal RNA", at positions 28 to 1381 of the family's 1533-position model. The record is from RNAcentral.